This 269-nucleotide ribosomal RNA is filed under the name uncultured prokaryote. RNAcentral describes it as "partial 16S ribosomal RNA". It matches the Rfam family "Bacterial small subunit ribosomal RNA", at positions 524 to 792 of the family's 1533-position model. The record is from RNAcentral.
UACGUAGGAGGCAAGCGUUAUCCGGAUUUACUGGGCGUAAAGAGGGCGUAGGCGGCCUGUCAAGUCGGAUGUUAAAUCUCCCGGCUCAACUGGGAGGGUGCACUCGAUACUGAUGGGCUAGAGUACAGCAGAGGAAAGUGGAAUUCCCGGUGUAGUGGUGAAAUGCGUAGAUAUCGGGAGGAACACUAGUGGCGAAGGCGGCUUUCUGGGCUGUUACUGACGCUGAGGCCCGAAGGCGUGGGGAGCAAACAGGAUUAGAUACCCGCGUA